GCGAACACCCUCUUCGGUGAGGACCUCGGGAUCUCCGUUGCUCCUCGUCCUCCUUGCUCCCUCUACAUCGUUCUCAAGUGCCUCGCUAGUGAUAGCGAAGCUGUUUUGCCUGCCUAUUACGUGAACACCGCCCUCCAGUUGGACCUCGGGCUCUCCGUGUCUCCUCCUCCUCCUUGCUCCCUCUCAUUGUUCUCAAGUGCCUCGCUAGUGAAAGAGCAGCCGUUUGGCCUACCCAUUACGUGAACAUGGCCCUCCAUUUAUGCUCCUCGCGAGCGUACGCUUAGGCCUGCGGAUGGCCGGUUUCGCGAACACCGCCCUCUAGUUGGACCUCGGGCUCUCCGUUUCUCCUCGUACUCCUUACUCCCUCUCCAUCUUUCUCAAGCGCCUCGCUAGUGAAAGAGCAGCUCUGUGGCCUGCCUACUACGCGAACACCGCCCUCCGUUUGGACUUCAGACACUCCUUGCCUCCUCCUCAUCCUUGCUCCCUCUACAUCGUUCUCAAGUGCCUCGGUAGCGUACGCUUAGGUCUGCGGAGGGCGGGUUACGCGAACACCACCAUUUUUGAGGAACCCAGUACCUCCUACACACACACACACACACACACACACACAGACACACACACACACACACACACACACACACACGAGGCAGUGAGGAGGAGAAGGAGGUUGUUGCUACGCCUGCGUCGCGAAACCAGGGCUCAUUGUGUGCGCGCCCGGAGUAGCUACGGGGAAACACGUGGGACAACCGACCAGUUUGGGGUCAUGGUUUAUUCAACGCGUAUUUUCAGUGUGGUUUAACUUGGUAAUCUGAUCUGAAAGACUUUCCCUGAAUGUGCCUUAAUUUCACCUCUUUUUCCUUUCUCCUUUUCUUAGCUUACUGAAAAUGUUGGCGACCAAAGGCCGGAUUCAGGGACGUGUGCUGCUUGUGCUACUCGCGUUACGUGGGCAAACUGCUCGCUGUCAUCAUCGAUACAAAGGCUCUGCGACCCGUGAAGAACUGAGACUCCUUCUGGUCGGUAAAACAGGCUCGAGAAAGAGUGCGUCCGGAAACACCAUCCUGGGGGAUGCGUACGCUUUCAAAGAGGACGUUUCGCCCGAGUCUCUCACCGACAGCUGUCUCAGAAAAGAGGCAGAGGGCGACAAACUGGUGGGAGAGGAUGUGGUGAAAAUCGGCCAGCUGCGGCUGGUCACAGAGUGUUACAAAGGAGAUUACUGAGAUUCGUUUGUAACAAAAGGCUGAUUCUUUCAAUGCACGCAUCCUACGGUGAGAUUUAUAUCAUGUAUUCACAGCCACCAGAGGCGCUGUACAGCACCGAGUGCCUGAAACACAGACAGUUUGUUGAUAUUUUUUAAUGUAAACCUUCUUUUUUUUUCAUGUAAACCUGUUCUUGACAUAUCUACUGAGAUUCGUUUGUCUUGAAAGGCUGAUUCAACCCCGUUGUUGACUUUUAUUUUGCCUUCCAGAUUGCCUCAGUUGUAUCGUGAGUGUAAUUUCAAAUAAAUUAAAAUAAAACUCAGAAGCAUCUGUGUGUUGUAUUCUUCUUCUUCUUCUUCUUCUCAUUAUUAUUAUUAUUAUUAUUAUUAUUAUUAUUAUUAUUAUUAUUACCAUUAUUAUUAUUAUUAUUGUGAUUAUGCUUCAUUUUCAUGUACUGGGGUAUCAAUGACCCCCAUGGUGCCGCAGCAGCUUCUGUGCGUGGUCCCCAAGUGCUACGUUUUCUUUCCCGAUCCCCUGACGAACCCAUUAGAAUCGCUCUGGG
This is a long non-coding RNA of Oreochromis niloticus (Nile tilapia), 1758 nucleotides long. Lineage: Eukaryota; Metazoa; Chordata; Actinopteri; Cichliformes; Cichlidae. The record is from Ensembl.